GGCUUCAUAGCUCAGUUGGUAGAGNAUCGCACCGGCAUCGCGGAGGUCAUGGGUUCGAUUCCCGUUGAAGCUU
Molecule: transfer RNA, 73 nt
Filed under: Actinia tenebrosa (Australian red waratah sea anemone)
Lineage: Eukaryota; Metazoa; Cnidaria; Anthozoa; Actiniaria; Actiniidae
Description: tRNA-Ala
Rfam family: tRNA
About the family: Transfer RNA (tRNA) molecules are approximately 80 nucleotides in length.
Source: RNAcentral